Long non-coding RNA from Raphanus sativus (radish), 1346 nucleotides. RefSeq lists it as uncharacterized. NCBI's taxonomy places the organism in Eukaryota, Viridiplantae, Streptophyta, Magnoliopsida, Brassicales, Brassicaceae. The record is from RefSeq and is a predicted model, not a curated record. The transcript has 4 exons.
UACAGUUUUUCUAUCUCCUUUAUCCUCUAAUUUAGUGUCCGUUCGUGUUUUGACCAGAAUCAAUUAAAGGUACGUUUAGACUGAAGGGAUGACUGAAGAAAGAUCUAUUGAUAGCUCUAUUACGCAGAAUUUGGGAUCCAGGUUCGAGAAUCUCAAUUCAGGUGAUGAUGUUUAUUUAUGAAUAGUUUUUUUCAAUAUAUAUUCUGUGUUUUGAUUUGCUUAAACAUCAUGUAAGGUCAGGAAAAGAACAUUUAAUAGGUUAGACAGAGCCUUGUUGCAUGUUACAACUCAGUGAAGGAUCAAUGGCGAUGUCAAAUAGUUUAUUUUCCUUGUCCCUUUUAUAUGUUAUCAUAUUCUAUAAUUGGCUUGUCUUGAUUCUGGUUAUUUUGAAAAUGUUUCAUCAUAGGGCUUCUGCUUUAUUUGUGGGAGUUUAUGAAUUCACAGACAGUGUAGAAACUGCUGAAGACCUUUCUUUUUAAUUUAAGCGCAGUUGCUCACUUGACUGCAGGGGCCAUAUGUGGAUUUCCUGCCUCUCUGAUUCGCGUGCCUAGUGAGGUUGUGAAGCAGAGUAUCCAGACUGGACAGUUUGCAUCAGCUACAAACGCUGUUGAAGUGUUAUUGCAUCACAAGUACAUGUAAUCAAGUUGCAAAAGAAGACAACUACCUUGACGGGACAACAGACUUAUAAUAAGGGUUUAUUGACAACUGCAAUGAGAUGGACUUGGUUAUAUUUUCAGCAAACCGAGAGUAACCAAUUCAGUAUUACCACAAUGUAAGUGGAUUUUUAAAGUUUGAUAAUGAAAAGCUACGUAGGAGUGUCUGUAUUGACACAUUUGAUUCAGUAGACGAAGAUAAACUAAGAUCAUUUAACAAUUUAGAUUAGAUGUUUAUGUUUUUGGGAAUGUUAUUCAACAAUAUGUUGGUAAUUGGAAUUGUAAUGUUAUGGCUUAGUAAUGGUUCGGUAAUAGUUUUGUAAUUUUUUUAUUUCAUAAUUAUAAACAGCGAUAGAUAUCAAAGUCAACUCAUGUGGUUUAGUAAUGGUUUCAAAUUUUUUGAUUUCAUAAUUAUAAACAGCAGCAAAGUCAACUCAUGUGGUUUAUAAUUGGUUUGUUAUUUUAUGGUUUUGUAAUUACAUAGGCUUCAAUAGACUAUCGAUUUUCAGUAGAUAACAUUAUAUGGUUUAGUAAAUGUUUGUUUUAUGGUUUAGUAAUCACGCAGGGUUCAAUAGAUUAACUCUCGGUUUAAAAAAAAAGACAAAACACUGUGUUUUAAACUUAGUGGCAUAGAUUGGUAAAUUUUGAGGAAAACUAAUGGUAAUUUUAUUUUUGUACUUCAGUUUUAAUAGA